GUUGGACCACGUGUGUUUUUUAUUUAUCAGUGUAAACCAGUUGUUUAGGGAGAGCCUAAAUAAAAACAUUAGACUAUUGGACCACGUGUGUUUUUUAUUUAUCAGUGUAAACCAGUUGUUUAUUUUUAUUUAUCAGUGUAAACCAGUUGUUUAGGGAGAGCCUAAAGAAAACAUUAGACUAUUGAACCACACUAGGACACCUCACACAGUGAAAGGGGUAUAGCAAAAACACACCGAACAUGACGGGAGAGGGCUGAUUAUUUACACAACAACAAGAGAGAGGUAUGUGCAAUCCAAACAUGACAAGAGAGGGCUGAUUAUUUACACAACAACAAGAGAGAGGUAUGCAAGAUAUGUGCAGUCCAAAUGACUUUGUAUUUACAAACACUGCAUAUGCCUUAUUUUUUGCUUAAUUUUUUUGGGAAAACAACAAACUAAACAAACAAGAAACAAAAACAAAACAAAACAAAGAAAAAUAGAAUCUAAACCCUUCACAGAGCAGAAAUCGGUAGAGAGCACGCCACUCAAUUUUAAAACGACCCAGAGAUACCGCGCGCACACGCGCGCACACACACACACACACACUGCGGCUUAUCUAGAGGAGUCAGCAUUUUACAUUUUACGUGGAGUUGAAAAUGUUAAUUUUGAAAAUGUUAAUUUGACCAAAAAACUGCCUUGAAUUUAAAAACGAUGAUGCAAUAAUUCUACCCAAAUUAUACAAUUAGAUUUAAAGCAGCAGAUUAGAUUGAGCAGCUUUUAAGGGCAGACAUCUGCCUCAAAAAAAGACAAGAGAUAAUAGAUAGAAUAAAUAGUCUGCUCCCAUCUUUUCACUGUGAAGCAUCUAUUCCCAGGAGGCAUUUUAAAUCAAACACUAAUCAACAAAACAAAAGAUAAAUAAUAUACAUCGAAACGUAAACAUAGAAAAACAAGACAUGUACAAUAAAUAAACAUUAGAAACUUAGUCAGCACCAAUGUGUUGCUUAGAUAGCUUUGGAAAUAUAGUAUGCACACAUUUACAUAAAACACUACACGUUACAGAGUGACGUGAAUAGAGUCACAUUAACUAAGAUUUUAAGAAGAGUGAACAUAUGUUAUUUAAAGCAUUUCAUAAUCUUUAAAAAUCACUUUAGGACCUUAGGUUUAUAAAAGGAAGAACAUAUUUCAUAUGUACACCUAUACUGUCUGCAUUAUAGAGCUUUUUGUUUUUUUGAUACAGCAACACUAAAUACAACAUAAACGCAAUGGUACUGCAUUCUUUGCGUAGUCAUGGCAACACUAAAUAUAACAGAACACAAUGGUACUGCAUUCUUUGAGUAGUCAUGGCAACACUAAAUGUAACAGAACACAAUGGUACAGCAUUCUUUUGAGUACUUAUAAUCAUGGAUAUACUGCUGUUUUCAAAAAGUUUGAUCAAAGCUUAAAGUUAAUACAAAACGUUAAGUUUAAAAAAAACAACAACAAAAACGACACAGAAAAAACCUAAAUAAAAGAGAAUAAAAUAAAUGACACUUAAGAGACGUAAGACACCUUGACAAUACAGCCUUGAAAUGUUUCAGUGCUAUCCAGAUGAGGCUACCAGGACUUUCCUGCAAUGCAGCAUGGGGUUUGGAGUUUUACCAGAGAGAGGAUCACUUCACAUUCAGCUCAGGAAGGCCUGCUUUCACUGCGAGUCUAGACAUUAAUACCCAUAAAACCAUAGAAACUCACUAACACAAGCACAUGCUCACAAGUACACACAGACUAUCCUUAUGAAACGUUAUCAAAAAACAGCACCAUCCUCACUAGGCCACAGCAUCCUCACUAGGCAACAGCAUCCUGUCCUAGCAGCACCAUCCUCACUGGACAACAGCAUCCUGUCCUAGCAGCACCAUUCUCACUGGGUACCAGCAUCCUCACUAGGCAACAGCAUCCUGUCCUAGCAGCACCAUCCUCACUGGGCAACAGCAUCCUGUCCUAGCAGCACCAUCCUCACUGGGCAACAGCAUCCUGUCCUAGCAGCAGCAUCCUGUCCUAGCAGCACCAUCCUCACUAGGCAACAGCAUCCUGUUCUAGCAGCACCAUCCUCAAUGGGUACCAGCAUCCUCACUGGGUACCAGCAUCCUGUCCUAGCAGCACCAUCCUCACUAGGCAACACCAUCCUCACUGGGCAACAGCAUCCUGUCCUAGCAGCACCAUCCUCACUGGGCAACAGCAUCCUCACUAGGCAACAGCAUCCUGUCCUAGCAGCACCGUCCUCACUGGGUACCAGCAUCCUGUCCUAGCAACACCAUCCUCACUGGGCAACAGCAUCCUGUCCUAGCAGCACCAUCCUCACUGGGCAACAGCAUCCUCACUAGGCAACAGCAUCCUGUCCUAGCAGCACCGUCCUCACUGGGUACCAGCAUCCUGUCCUAGCAGCACCAUCCUCACUGGGCAACAGCAUCCUCACUAGGCAACAGCAUCCGGUCCUAGCAGCACCAUCCUCACUGAGCAACAGCAUCCUGUCCUAGCAGCACCAUCCUCACUGGGUACCAGCAUCCUCACUAGGCAACAGCAUCCUGUCCUAGCAGCACCAUCCUCACUGAGCAACAGCAUCCUGUCCUAGCAGCACCAUCCUCAUCAGGACACUGAAAUGGGACUAAUAAGGUGGAUGAAUAAAACACCUAUAAGGAAAGAGCUCAGAACACUCACACACACACACACACACACACACACACACACACACACACACACACACACACACAC
This is a long non-coding RNA of Clupea harengus (Atlantic herring), 2724 nucleotides long. Lineage: Eukaryota; Metazoa; Chordata; Actinopteri; Clupeiformes; Clupeidae. The record is from Ensembl.